GAUGAAGAACGUAGCGAAAUGCGAUACGUAAUGUGAAUUGCAGAAUUCAGUGAAUCAUCGAAUCUUUGAACGCAUAUUGCGCUCUUUGGUAUUCCGAAGAGCAUGCUUGUUUGAGUAUCAGUAAACACCUCAAAGACUUCAAUUUGUUUUGAAUGGCUUUGGACUUGAGCAAUCCCAACACCAGUCUUUACGAUCGGUGGAGGGUUGCUUGAAAUGCAGGUGCAGCUGGACAUUCUCCUGAGCUAAAAGCAUAUUUAUUUAGUACCGUCAAACGGAUUAUUACUUUUGCUGCAGCUAACAUAAAGGGAGUUUGACCGUAUUGGCUGACUGAUGCAGGAUUUCACAAGGGUCGGCAACGAUUCUUGUAAAACUCGAUCUCAAAUCAAGUAAGACUACCCGCUGAACUUAAGCAUAUCAAUAAGCGGAGGA
RNAcentral lists this unclassified non-coding RNA (429 nucleotides) under soil metagenome. RNAcentral describes it as "partial contains 5.8S ribosomal RNA, internal transcribed spacer 2, and large subunit ribosomal RNA". The stretch from base 1 to 120 matches the Rfam family "5.8S ribosomal RNA", at positions 35 to 154 of the family's 154-position model. The record is from RNAcentral.